RNAcentral lists this unclassified non-coding RNA (1082 nucleotides) under Hevea brasiliensis (rubber tree). Lineage: Eukaryota; Viridiplantae; Streptophyta; Magnoliopsida; Malpighiales; Euphorbiaceae. The record is from RNAcentral.
CUCGCCUGCAGGCUAGAACAUCGGUAAAUCCAGAGAGGAUUGUAGAUUCUACACGAAGUCUUGUGUCAAUCACGCCAGCAGUCAUCCUUUUGUUGAUCCAAUAUAAAAAACCCUCAAAGCUUCAAUUCCAGCUUCGUCUUCAAUUUCAGGUUCUCCAAAAAGCAGAGAAAAAGCAAAGGUUCGAUUUCACGUUUGCCUAUUUUCUGUAUUUUGUAUUCUCACAUGUCUAGAAAUGUUCGUUAUUAUAAACCCUAGAAGUAAUUUAUGCAAAAUGCUACCUCUCUUCAUCUAAUGCUUUGGAUUUGAAAUCAAAAUAGAUCUCUCUUGUUUGGGAGUUUGUGUAAUUUUAGCCAUGCAUGUAUUGUUUUGUCAUAAUGGAGUCAUGGGCAAGCGGCAUUUUGAAGGAGGCAGGCAUUUGUUUGUUCUUUUAGCUUGGAAACACUUUGGACCUUUUCAAUGAUGCAAGAAUAUGGCUAAUUUAUGAUUUUCAUGUUCAAGUUCAUUAUUAACCGCUAGGCAGCUCCGAAUUUGUAUAUGCUUGGCAAAAUAAGGAGAAGGGAUUGCCCUUGGGGGAGGGGGGGAGCGGAUAGGUGUGGAUCUUGUGAUCAGAAAGUUAGGUGCUAUGUUCAAUUUGAUGCCAUGUAUGCUGGAAAAGGCUGCACCUUUUGCAAGAUUUUCUUUUAAAUGAAUAAUUCAGUUUCAUCUUUGUCUUCAUGCUAUUUAGGACAUAAAACAAAUGCUAAAUAAUACUAAAGUAGAAACUCAGAAGUUGGCAAUGUUUCUGUAGUCUUGCGUGACAUCAUCAUCGCUUCGUAUUAAUUAAGAAAUCUAAUUCUUAUGUUAUGGUUUCUUGUUAAAUGAAUCAAUGGGUGCGUUAUUAGAUUAUGGAAUUCAUUAAAUCAAUAAUUGCUUUCAUUCCGAUAUUCAAGAGUUAUUGAAGGUAAAGCCACACCUCAGGCUCAAGGCUCACCAGAUCCCAACCUAGUGUCUCUACAGGAUAAACGGGGGCGACAUUCACCAAGCAUGGUUCUAGUCUCUAGAAAGGCACACUUUCUUUUUUUUUUUCCUUUCGGCAAUGAAGA